Molecule: long non-coding RNA, 2226 nt
Filed under: Homo sapiens (human)
Lineage: Eukaryota; Metazoa; Chordata; Mammalia; Primates; Hominidae
Description: HSALNT0239050
Source: RNAcentral
GCAUGUGCCACCAUGCCCGGCUAUUUUUUUUUUUUUUUUGAGACAAAGUUUCACUCUUGUAGCCUAGGCUGGAGUGCAAUGACGCAAUCUCGCAAUCUCAGCUUACUGCAACUCCAUCUCCCAGGUUCAAACGAUUCUCCUGCCUCAGCCUCCCGAGUAGCUGGGACUACAGGUGCCUGCCACCAUGCCCUGCUAAUUUUUUUGUAUUUUUAGUAGAGACGGGGUUUCACCAUGUUAGCCAGGAUGGUCUCGAUCUCCUCUCCGCCUGCCUUGGCCUCCCAAAGUGCUGGGAUUACAGGUGUGAGGCACCACACCCAGCUAAUUUUUGUAUUUUUAGUAGAGACGGGGUUUCACCUUGUUGGCCAGGAUGGUCUCGAUCUCCUCACCUCGUGAUCUAUCCACCUCGGCCUCCCAAAGUGCUGGGAUUACAGGUGUGAGCCACCACACCCGGCCAUAGGUUUUGUUUUUUUUUUUAAGUGUGCAUGUAAUUACUGACUUCCUAAUGAAUUGGAGGAAUCACCUCUCCUAGGCCAACACUUUGCAAUGUAACUCAUUCUUAUGCUUUGGCUAGCCUAACACUUUGAAAUCAAUUCAUAGUGAAAAUCCUUUCAAAGUGAAGGAUAAGACAGCAACUAUAAGCAAGGUAAAUCCGCUGGGAAAAUGACUAUACAUAGGCAAAGGAAAGCUUGAAGUGGUCAGACUUUUAUUCCCCCAGGGGAGAGCUGUAUUAUUCACACAGAGUAAACUGUAUCAAAACACAAUACAACUAAUGAUGGAAUAGUUACCUCUCAUUCUCAAGCAAUCCUAGCACAGAAAACCCUUCCCCUUGUAUCCUCAUUCUCUCCCUGAAUGUAAGAAGUAAACCCUGACUUUAAGCCUACUCUCAACUCAUACCUUUCCUAAGUCAGUUUUCAUUUGGACACUUGUGCUGUGACAUCUUUUGGAAGCUGGGCAUCAUACAGCCCGCCCAGGUCUCUAGCAGGAAGCAUCUCCCUGCUCCCUAUAUUAUUUUGAAUUUUCUGGGAAAAAGGAUUUCACAUGUGUACUUGGCCAUGUACCCACUAUGUAUCCAUUUGGUCUGACAACUUCUUAGAACUAGUUCUCUGUGCACAACGCCUUGCCAUACAUUGCUAGUGAAGAGUUUCAGAAAGGACAGUAAAUUCAGGGCAGGGAGAAUGAAGUUUUACUUAUAGCUAACACACUGCCCUUCACUGUAUUUUUUUUUUUUUUUUUUUUUUUUUUUUGAGACAGAGUCUCGCUCUGUCGCCCAGCCUGGAGUGCAGUGGCGCGAUCUCGAGUGCAGUGGUGCGAUCUCCGCUCACGGCAACCUCCACCUCCUGGGUUCACGCCAUUCUCCUGCCUCAGCCUCCUGAGUAGUUGAGACUACAGGCGCCCGCAACCACGCCCAGCUAAUUUUUUUGUAUUUUUAGUAGAGACGGGGUUUCACCAUGUUAGCCAGGAUGGUAUGAUCUCCUGACCUCGUGAUCCACCCUCCUCGGCCUCCCAAAGUGCUGGGAUUACAGGCGUGAGCCACCAUGCCCAGCCCCCACUGUAUCUUCUAUUCUUCUGUUAUCUAGGGCUAGUUUCCCAAUCUUGCCAAGGCAGAUUAUAAGGUAAUACAGAAAGACAAGUUUGAUACAUUAAUGCAUUCUAUUCCCUUUAGGCCCUUCCUUCUCCUCCCCCAGCCUGAGUAUGGACCAUGAGGAAUCCUGAUAUGUAAUAACCUUUGUCAAAGGCUUCUAUAUAGCCUUAGUGAAAAUCAAAGCACUUACAUUGCUUGUCACUGAGACUCACUAUAACUUGAAGAUUUAUGGUUCACGCUCCACAUGUCCAAGGAAUUAGCAGGUUUCUGAAGCUAAAGGGUCUCUGAAAGCUCAAGAGGCUGCUAAGCUUAAAGGGGCCCGAGAAUUGAAAGCUUAAAGGAAGAGGUGGAGCACCCCCUUCCACACCUGGCAGACCACAACUAGCUAAUGAAAUUUGCAAUGCUGGGUCAAUCUACAGGAAGGAAAAACAGAUAUACAGUCCCUGUUAGAAUAAUACUUUCAUAGCUAGGGUAAACACACAGAUAAAGAUUCUGAAAUUCACUUUAGGAAGCUUCCUCAUUUCAGGAACUGUCUGCAAAACAAAUAAAAAACUAAUAAAGUAGUCUUUUUUUUUUUUUUUUUGAGACGGAGUUUCGCUCUUGUUGCAGGCUGGAGUGCAAUGGCACGAUCUUGGCUCACCGCA